UUAUUAACUCAACUAACUCCUAACUAAUUAAUCUAUCCUAUAUCAAUUGAACUGUAACCGCCCCAACGAAUUCAUGAUUGAAAAAUCUGAGAUUGAAUGCAAGUUGAAAAGAAAAUGUGUAGAACAAUAAAGGUAGCAAACACUAAAAAAAAAAUAAACAAUCCAAAACACCAAAAACUCAAACUUGUUAAUUAGUUCGACAUGUCGUUCCUGUUCACAAUCA
This 223-nucleotide long non-coding RNA is filed under the name Cicer arietinum (chickpea). RNAcentral's name for it is "long non-coding RNA (CARI_LNC001574)". Lineage: Eukaryota; Viridiplantae; Streptophyta; Magnoliopsida; Fabales; Fabaceae. The record is from RNAcentral.